Molecule: long non-coding RNA, 454 nt
Organism: Alosa sapidissima (American shad)
Lineage: Eukaryota; Metazoa; Chordata; Actinopteri; Clupeiformes; Clupeidae
Exons: 3
Source: RefSeq, a predicted model, not a curated record
AGGCUAAGCAUGAAUGUCGACCUCGCCGAACAGGUGGAGGAGGAGCCAGAGGAGGAGCCAGAGGACGUAGCUGAGGAAGAUGAUGUCGAAGAAGACAUAGACGCUGAGGAUGACGAGACCGAGAAGGACACAGCCUCCACAGAAAAGGACGAGCUCUGAGAGAUUGAAAAACCGAGUGGGGCAGGGUGUGACUGACUUGGGUGGGGGCGGAACUUUGUGUCUCCUUGACGACGGAUCUUUGCCAUGGGGGGGGGGGGGGGGUGGAUGCUGAAAGGGGAUUGGACAGGGUUGGGAGAGGGGGAGGGUUUUUUAGGCACUGCUUGUGUUUGAAAUUGUGUUUUCUUUUUGUUUUUUACAUUCCUCAUGACUGUAAAUUUGUUAAUAUUUAACGGAGCUGGUUAUGGAGUUCUGAAUUCCUGUCACGUGAACCAUUAAAUGUUUACGAAAAGGGAAA